AUUUGUAGUUGUUCACGUUUCGGUCGGGAGCCGCAAGUGCACUUGCGGAGGGACUGCUCGCCACCCCCACGUUUUUGGGGCGCCCGACACAGGAAAAUCGGUUCUCACGCGUUCCGUUCCCACGUCGUUCGCUGCUGCACGUCCUCGAUUUUCUGCGUUUUGUUUUUGUUUCAAGCUGGACAGAGUAUUUGCGAGAUGCGCUGGGAAUCGGCGAACGUGAUCGCACGUUGACAAGACGCCUCACGAGGCCCCCGAGUGGAUUCGGUGCAUGCAAUUGGGACCGCUCCGGCACAAAGGAGCCAGUGUUUAGUGGGAAACUCGCCCCGUAUUGUGUUCCCAAGACGCCAUAUUUACAUGUGCUCUUUGUGCGGCACUCAAUGGGGCUGCAGUUGACAGAAUUGCAUUGUUUGCAGUUCCCUUGCUGGCGCGACGCAGCCCGGGAAGAAGCCGGUCAAUGGGCGAUCGGACAGGAAAGCAAUUGUGUCAAUAAUUGCAGUGGGAUCUGGCGUUUCUGCGCAUUUCUAGUCGCACGAGAUUUGGCCGACUGCAACUGACAUUGCGGGUCGAAUGGCUGGUGCUGGGUGCCAAACAAAGGGUUGGUAGCGAAGCGCAAUUGGCUGAAAACGAGCGGGCCGAGUACGGAACUCAAGGGCCUGGAUGUAACUAGUUCCGAGUUGUUGACAGAAUCUGGUGGCUAUUGUUUUGGACGGCGAAGUCAGGCCUGCCCCCAUCACAAAACAAAAAUGUGAUUCAACGUUUGUUAUGCAUAUCGGACUGCGCCAGUAAGAAGAUCUGUGUUUUGUAUUUAUUGAUCUCAGGUAAUAUUUCGCGAAUUUUAUGUCUUAUUCAUCAUGAUCGCUAUUCAAAUUGGAUUCGCCUUCCGAACCCUGGUCAGAGCCCGUCUAAAUGAAAUUAUGUUGUUCAUAUCAUCAUCA
This is a long non-coding RNA of Hermetia illucens (black soldier fly), 935 nucleotides long. RefSeq lists it as uncharacterized. The transcript is spliced from 2 exons. The record is from RefSeq and is a predicted model, not a curated record. Lineage: Eukaryota; Metazoa; Arthropoda; Insecta; Diptera; Stratiomyidae.